UUGCAAAAUUUUCAAAAAAAUUUGCAUAACAACAAGCCGUUACUGUUAUGUUAUGGCUGUACAGGCCCGUUUCUAUUACUCACGACUGUGACUACGAACAUGGCUGCGAUUGCGAUUUAAAACCAUGAUUGGAAGCUCAUUUUUUUCUUAAUCAAGAAUGUUAUGCUAAGUUUGGUUGACUAAUUUUUGUAAUUACUAGGGAAAAACAUCUUCAAAUGCUAUUAGUUAUACUUGUAUUCUCCUUCCUUCUAUAUAUAUGCAAUGUAAGCAGUGUUAUCUAGGCGGAAGGCAUCAAGAUACCUUAUGGCCUUAGGUGAGAGGCAAGGCGAGAGCCUUUUUGAAACAAGGCGCCAUAGCCUAAAUUGCUUAGAUUUUAUAUAUAUAUACUUUUAACUGGUUUCAUAAGUAAAAGGCAAAUUAAAAAGAAUAAAAAAACAUAUUAUUUGCACCAUGAACUAGGCUGACCAUAUUAACCCAAAAUUGUUCUCAUACAUCAAGAUAUAUAUUGGGGAACUAGGACACUAAUAAGAAAUGUAUAAAGUAAUUGCAAGGAAGACCACAUCAAAUCAUCAACUCAAUCAUCUUCAUAAAUCAAACAAAUUGCAUAUCACAAAACUGAAAAAAGUGACCUAUACACCUUUAACUGAUCUGUAUUGUUGUGCAAAUAAUGAUAUUUAUAGUUACAUCAUGAUAAGGAUAAACACACAGCAAACUAAACUUAGCUAUUUGUUACAGUAAGUUUGUUGCAACAGAUUACUCUUAUCAAAAUUAGCUUAUCUUCAACAAGUAGCCUAAACAAUUAGGGAAGAAUUAAAAUAAAAUUGUUAUUAU
This 831-nucleotide unclassified non-coding RNA is filed under the name Hevea brasiliensis (rubber tree). Lineage: Eukaryota; Viridiplantae; Streptophyta; Magnoliopsida; Malpighiales; Euphorbiaceae. The record is from RNAcentral.